This 252-nucleotide ribosomal RNA is filed under the name uncultured bacterium. RNAcentral describes it as "partial 16S ribosomal RNA". It matches the Rfam family "Bacterial small subunit ribosomal RNA", at positions 524 to 776 of the family's 1533-position model. The record is from RNAcentral.
UACGUAGGGGGCAAGCGUUAUCCGGAAUUAUUGGGCGUAAAGAGUACGUAGGUGGCAACCUAAGCGCAGGGUCUAAGGCAAUGGCUCAACCAUUGUUCGCCCUGCGAACUGGGAUGCUUGAGUGCAGGAGAGGAAAGCGGGAUUCCUAGUGUAGCGGUGAAAUGCGUAGAUAUUAGGAGGAACACCAGUGGCGAAGGCGGCUUUCUGGACUGUAACUGACACUGAGGUACGAAAGCGUGGGGAGCAAACAGG